RNAcentral lists this unclassified non-coding RNA (395 nucleotides) under soil metagenome. RNAcentral describes it as "partial contains 5.8S ribosomal RNA, internal transcribed spacer 2, and large subunit ribosomal RNA". The stretch from base 3 to 122 matches the Rfam family "5.8S ribosomal RNA", at positions 37 to 154 of the family's 154-position model. The record is from RNAcentral.
GCUGAAGAACGUAGCGAAAUGCGAUACUUGGUGUGAAUUGCAGAAUCCCGUGAACCAUCGAGUCUUUGAACGCAAGUUGCGCCCGAAGCCAUCAGGUUGAGGGCACGUCUGCCUGGGCGUCACAUAUCGUUGCCCAAUGCCUAUUGCAGUGCAAUAGGAAUUUCUAGGGCGAAUGAUGGCUUCCCGUGAGCGUUGUUGCCUCGCGGUUGGUUGAAAAUCGAGUCCUUGGUAGGGUGUGCCAUGGUAGAUGGUGGUCGAGUUAGAACGAUACCGAUCAUGUGCAUGCUCCCCAAAAUAUGGCCUCUAUGACCCACACGCGUCUUUUGACGCUCAUGACGAGACCUCAGGUCAGGCGGGGCUACCCGCUGAAUUUAAGCAUAUCAAUAAGCGGAGGA